GACGAACGCUGGCGGCGUGCUUAACACAUGCAAGUCGAACGCUGAAGCUUGGUGCUUGCACUGGGUGGAUGAGUGGCGAACGGGUGAGUAAUACGUGAGUAACCUGCCCUUGACUCUGGGAUAAGCCUGGGAAACUGGGUCUAAUACUGGAUACGACAUGUCACCGCAUGGUGGUGUGUGGAAAGGGUUUUACUGGUUUUGGAUGGGCUCACGGCCUACCAGCUUGUUGGUGGGGUAAUGGCUCACCAAGGCGACGACGGGUAGCCGGCCUGAGAGGGUGACCGGCCACACUGGGACUGAGACACGGCCCAGACUCCUACGGGAGGCAGCAGUGGGGAAUAUUGCACAAUGGGCGGAAGCCUGAUGCAGCGACGCCGCGUGAGGGAUGACGGCCUUCGGGUUGUAAACCUCUUUCAGCACGGAAGAAGCGAAAGUGACGGUACGUGCAGAAGAAGCGCCGGCUAACUACGUG
RNAcentral lists this ribosomal RNA (472 nucleotides) under uncultured bacterium. Its description in RNAcentral is "partial 16S ribosomal RNA". It matches the Rfam family "Bacterial small subunit ribosomal RNA", at positions 28 to 507 of the family's 1533-position model. The record is from RNAcentral.